This 473-nucleotide ribosomal RNA is filed under the name Electroma cf. alacorvi IT-2010. RNAcentral's name for it is "partial 16S ribosomal RNA". It matches the Rfam family "Bacterial large subunit ribosomal RNA", at positions 1829 to 2597 of the family's 2925-position model. The record is from RNAcentral. Lineage: Eukaryota; Metazoa; Mollusca; Bivalvia; Pterioida; Pteriidae.
UGCUGCAUGAGAAUAGAUGUGUGGUAAAUACUGCCCGGUGCCAUAUGGUAAACGGCGGCGUAAGGUUUUAAAGUAGCGAAAUUCCUUGCCUUUUAAUUGUAGGCCUCAUGAAGUAACAACGAGGGGGGGACUGUCUCUAAGGCUCAAUCUGAAUUAGGACUUAAAGUAAAAUUGCUUUAAUAGUCACAGAAGACGAUAAGACCCUAUGCAGCUUGUUUGAACGAAUGUAGCAUUAGCUGCAGGGUUUUUUGGUUGGGGCAACUGAAGAAUAAGCAAAACUUCUUCUAUUAGUAGCUUACUGACUGGUGGCGAUCUAAAGUUUUUAAUCAUAGGAAAAAGCUACGCUAGGGAUAACAGCGCACUUUUAGGCUGGAGACCAUAUCGUGCCUAAAGACAGCGACCUCGAUGUUGAAUCAAAAUAAAGGCAGGGUGCAGCAGCUUUGCUAUUAAGCCUGUUCGUCUUUUAAAAUUUU